RNAcentral lists this ribosomal RNA (736 nucleotides) under Rhizophagus irregularis. RNAcentral's name for it is "SSU rRNA". It matches the Rfam family "Eukaryotic small subunit ribosomal RNA", at positions 337 to 1077 of the family's 1831-position model. The record is from RNAcentral. Lineage: Eukaryota; Fungi; Glomeromycota; Glomeromycetes; Glomerales; Glomeraceae.
AGGCCUACCAUGGUGGUAACGGGUAACGGGGUGUUAGGGCACGACACCGGAGAGGGAGCCUGAGAAACGGCUACCACAUCCAAGGAUGGCAGCAGGCGCGCAAAUUACCCAAUCCCGACACGGGGAGGUAGUGACAAUAAAUAACAAUACGGGGUUCUUUAGGAUCUCGUAAUUGGAAUGAGUACAAUUUAAAUCUCUUAACGAGGAACAAUUGGAGGGCAAGUCUGGUGCCAGCAGCCGCGGUAAUUCCAGCUCCAAUAGCGUAUAUUAAAGUUGUUGCAGUUAAAAAGCUCGUAGUUGAAUUUCGGGGUUAGUAGGUUGGUCAUGCCUCUGGUAUGUACUGGUCUCACUGAUUCCUCCUUCCUGAUGAACCGUAAUGCCAUUAAUUUGGUGUUGCGGGGAAUUUGGACUGUUACUUUGAAAAAAUUAGAGUGUUUAAAGCAGGCUAACGCUUGAAUACAUUAGCAUGGAAUAAUGAAAUAGGACGUUCGAUCUUAUUUUGUUGGUUUCUAAGAUUGACGUAAUGAUUAAUAGGGAUAGUUGGGGGCAUUAGUAUUCAAUUGUCAGAGGUGAAAUUCUUGGAUUUAUUGAAGACUAACUACUGCGAAAGCAUUUGCCAAGGAUGUUUUCAUUAAUCAAGAACGAAAGUUAGGGGAUCGAAGACGAUCAGAUACCGUCGUAGUCUUAACCAUAAACUAUGCCGACUAGGGAUCGGAUGAUGUUAAUUUUUUAAUGA